AUGGUCAGAGACCUGGAGGACCGGGGGCAGUCGUUGCCUCGCCUACACACUCAUCUGGGAGCGGAGGCUCUGCCACGGGUGUUCGUCCAGACGUCCGUGGAGGGGGCGGAGCCUGGCUGGAGCCCCUCCCCUGGGAAUUCGGUCGGCGGGGUCGCUGACCUAGCGCGCGGCGCUCUGAGGCAAAUGCCGCCGGGAAGAACUUCGCGGGUCAGUCCAAGGCUCCCCGCAGUGGCUCCCGGAAACUCUAAUCCUUGAACACACAAUGUAAGAGAUAUGCAUGUAGCCUCACACUGGCAGGCAUCCAUUUUGCAGUCAACAAAAUUCCCAAAAGAAGAUGAUGAGUUUUUUCUUGCUGACAAAUCAGAGCCAUGAGAGUUAUGGGCCAACCAGAAAGCUGCACAUGAACUGCACGUGUACCUUGUAACCUCAGCUUCAACCUGUAAGAUACCUUACCUUUAAUCCCUCAAGAGUUGUAGAAUUAAGUGAAAGCUGCUCUACUUCUUCCUGUGUACUCUGCAAAAAUAAAUAGCUACUUUCUUCCA
Molecule: long non-coding RNA, 542 nt
Filed under: Oryctolagus cuniculus (rabbit)
Lineage: Eukaryota; Metazoa; Chordata; Mammalia; Lagomorpha; Leporidae
Description: lncRNA (ENSOCUG00000038350.1)
Source: RNAcentral